GAUGAACGCUGGCGGCGUGCUUAACACAUGCAAGUCGAACGAUGAAGCCCAGCUUGCUGGGUGGAUUAGUGGCGAACGGGUGAGUAACACGUGAGUAACCUGCCCUUAACUCUUGGAUAAGCCUGGGAAACUGGGUCUAAUACCGGAUAGGAGCGUCCACCGCAUGGUGGGUGUUGGAAAGAUUUAUCGGGUUUGGAUGGACUCGCGGCCUAUCAGCUUGUUGGUGAGGUAAUGGCUCACCAAGGCGACGACGGGUAGCCGGCCUGAGAGGGUGACCGGCCACACUGGGACUGAGACACGGCCCAGACUCCUACGGGAGGCAGCAGUGGGGAAUAUUGCACAAUGGGCGCAAGCCUGAUGCAGCGACGCCGCGUGAGGGAUGACGGCCUUCGGGUUGUAAACCUCUUUCAGUAGGGAAGAAGCGAAAGUGACGGUACCUGCAGAAGAAGCACCGGCUAACUACGUG
Molecule: ribosomal RNA, 466 nt
Filed under: uncultured bacterium
Lineage: Bacteria
Description: partial 16S ribosomal RNA
Rfam family: Bacterial small subunit ribosomal RNA
Source: RNAcentral